CGCUCCCCGAACUUAAAAGUAUGAGGAGUCCUGCCUGCCCAGUGACUAGAGGUUAAACGGCCGCGGUAUCUUGACCGUGCGAAGGUAGCAUAAUCAUUUGUCUUCUAAAUAAAGACUAGUAUGAAUGGCAAGACGGAACUAAACUGUCUCUUUUUCACAGAUCCGAAUUUCACUUCCCCGUGAAGAGGCGGGGCUAAAAUCGUUAGACGAGAAGACCCUGUCGAGCUUAUAGCAAAAGAUUAACCGCUAAAACACCUAAACUGCCCUAAUUCAUACAUUUUAGACACGAUAGAUUUUUGGGAUUAAGAUGGAGCUUUGGUUGGGGCAACCGCGGAGUAAGAAAAACCUCCGCUAAAAAUAUUAAUUAUUAAAUUAAGAACUACAGUUCUAAAAUCAAAAUGAUAAAAUGAUCCAUUUAGAUGACCAAAGGAACAAGUUACCGCAGGGAUAACAGCGUUAUCUUUUCUGAGAGUUCACAUUGACGAAAAGGUUUGCGACCUCGAUGUUGGAUCGGGACAUCCUAAGGGUGCAGAAGCUUUUAAGGGUUGGUCUGUUCGACCAUUAAAGUCCUACGUGAUCUGAGUUCAGACCGG
This 593-nucleotide ribosomal RNA is filed under the name Loxechinus albus. RNAcentral's name for it is "partial 16S rRNA". It matches the Rfam family "Bacterial large subunit ribosomal RNA", at positions 1817 to 2619 of the family's 2925-position model. The record is from RNAcentral. Lineage: Eukaryota; Metazoa; Echinodermata; Echinoidea; Camarodonta; Echinidae.